RNAcentral lists this ribosomal RNA (482 nucleotides) under uncultured bacterium. Its description in RNAcentral is "bacterial SSU rRNA". It matches the Rfam family "Bacterial small subunit ribosomal RNA", at positions 32 to 524 of the family's 1533-position model. The record is from RNAcentral.
AAUCAACGCUGGCGGCGUGCCUCAGACAUGCAAGUCGAACGAUUAAAGCUCUCUUCGGAGAGUGUAUAGAGUGGCGCACGGGUGAGUAACACGUAAGUAAUCUACCUUCGAGUGGGGAAUAACGUCCGGAAACGGACGCUAAUACCGCAUAAUGCAGCGGCAUCGCAAGAUGACAGUUGUUAAAGAUUUAUCGCUUGAAGAGGAGCUUGCGGCAGAUUAGCUAGUUGGUAAGGUAACGGCUUACCAAGGCUACGAUCUGUAUCCGGUCUAAGAGGACGGUCGGACACACUGACACUGAAUAACGGGUCAGACUCCUACGGGAGGCAGCAGUCGGGAAUUUUGGGCAAUGGGCGAAAGCCUGACCCAGCAACGCCGCGUGAAGGAUGAAGUAUUUCGGUAUGUAAACUUCGAAAGAAUAGGAAGAAUUAAUGACGGUACUAUUUAUAAGGUCCGGCUAACUACGUGCCAGCAGCCGCGGUAAG